GGGGAAUCUUAGACAAUGGGGGCAACCCUGAUCUAGCCAUGCCGCGUGAGUGAUGAAGGCCUUAGGGUUGUAAAGCUCUUUCAGCUGGGAAGAUAAUGACGGUACCAGCAGAAGAAGUCCCGGCUAACUCCGUGCCAGCAGCCGCGGUAAUACGGAGGGGACUAGCGUUGUUCGGAAUUACUGGGCGUAAAGCGCACGUAGGCGGACCAGCAAGUUAGGGGUGAAAUCCCGGGGCUCAACCCCGGAACUGCCCCUAAAACUGCAGGUCUGGAGUUCGAGAGAGGUGAGUGGAAUUCCGAGUGUAGAGGUGAAAUUCGUAGAUAUUCGGAGGAACACCAGUGGCGAAGGCGGCUCACUGGCUCGAUACUGACGCUGAGGUGCGAAAGCGUGGGGAGCAAAC
Molecule: ribosomal RNA, 400 nt
Filed under: uncultured bacterium
Lineage: Bacteria
Description: bacterial SSU rRNA
Rfam family: Bacterial small subunit ribosomal RNA
Source: RNAcentral